UAAGUCUACUAGAAUUAUAUUUUCUUUUUUAUUUCUCAAGUGCAUGGCAUUUCAGAAUUGCAUAAGCGAGCCGCUCAAGACCUGGAUAUAGUACAAAUGACAUGUGAACAAGUCGCAGAAGCACGUAGAGACAAUUGAUUGUUCAGACACAAUUGGUCAUCCUAUUGAGUUUGCUAGUGACCAGAAGACUGCUGCAAGAGCAAGAGGAUAACAGAAGGCUAGAGUUAAUUAUCAAACUAAUCAGUUUCAACUCGUAGGUUAUAAUUAUUAUUGCUUUUUUUUUUAAUGAUGAACACACGUCUUAACAUCAAUCCACUAAAUUAGUUGGAUUCGAAUCACGAGGAAUGAGUGCAUAUUCCUACUCCCAGCAACCCAUUUCCUGUAUUAUAAUAUCACGAGCAUUUCUGUUCCACCAGUAAUAUUUAUUGGCCAGCUGGUUGCAUUCCCUGUUUUGGCAUCUAUACUGUAUGGGCCAAACAUUGCAAUAAGUGAGCAAAUCAUCUUGGAGUCUUUCGUUGACUACAUAGCUGUUAGGCAAAGUCCAGAGGAUCCUUGCACGACUCUGAGGUCACUGCAGGAGUGGAGAAUGCUGCAUGGAGAUACUGGAGUUUAAUGAAAAUUUAAUUUGGAAUAACACCUGCAAUUGUCAAACUGGACCAGAUCGUGCUUUGACACAAUAAAAUCGGAUCGCUUAGACAGAGCCCGAGUUGGAUAGAUUUCCAGGUGUACUUAGUAUAAUUAUCGCACAUAAUUAUCGUAUUAUAAUGGUAUACACAUGCAGUAUCAAAUUUCAUGCAGGGAACUCGAUGUAUACCCGAUUGCAUAUCAUAACCAGUAUACUUUUACAGUUCAAGAAAAGAAAACUAUAAAGUGUUAUGCUCUACGUGUACUGUGUUAUGUUACUAAUUCCUUUUUUUAGUUACAGUGAUUUGUGAUUGUAAUUAUGGCAACACCAUCACCAAAGAGAGUGAAGGUUGGUGGAUUUAAUGCUCACAUCAAGUUCAUUUGAAUAUUUUGCAAGUCUUGUGAAAGAAGCUCAGGAUGUACCAUUUCCAUGGAAGGAGGCUGUACCCGAAGACAUACGAGUGUGGUUUGAAACAUUUGCCAAGUCUCAUAACACUGUUCCAGAGUACCGUUUUAUUGGUGCACUUGCAACCACAGCUGCUUUGAUGGGACCAAAAUGUUUUGUGGAAGUAAGGGAAACCUACAGGGAGCCAGAAACUGUUUGCCAUUUGUGUUUGGGUCAAGGGAAGAGUCGUUAACAUGUCCAUCCGACAGGGCAUCUUACCCUUCGACUGGAAAACUUCUAACAUCACCCCACUCCACAAGAAAGGACCUAGAAACUCACCUACCAACUACAGACCAAUCAGUUUAACAUCAAUCGAUCGUCAUAAAUUUGUUGUCAGGCAAAGCAAUCGCUGUCAAAACACUAGAAAAAAUUAUUCACACAAGGCUAUACAAUCUACUGGACAACAAUAUUUUAUCACCAAUCCAACACGGCUUGCCACAGCUGCCAGUCACAGCUACUAGAAACCAUUUUUGACUGGUCAAAGAAUACCACUUCCAUGCACCCAUGCUAUCUUUCUGGACUUUUCUAAAGCAUUUGAUACAUAUCCCCACUUUAAGGAAUGGACCGUCCUAGAAGUGGCCAGGUGGCUUAAAGAUUAUGCCUUUCACAAGACGUCUGUGGCACCUUUGAAGGUAUACUAGAGCACAGAAAUUAAAAUUUGUAUUCUAUUUAGAGGCAAGGUAGGUUCUAGGAUGUCGUUACGUAAGUUUUGUGUACUUAUUGUAACUGUACUUGUAGCUUGUAGCUAAUAUCCAACUGGAGUAUGAACUUGUACAUUGUAUGUUUUCUUUUAGGCGUCGUGGGAGAAACGGAUAAUCGACCGCGUAUAUAACGUUUGCAAGGUUGAGAAGGAUGAGACUGACGGCGCCCCAGUGAAGAAGAAAUUAAAACUAGAGCACUAAAGUGCAAACCCUCGGCUGGUGACAUGAUAAUAAAGAAACCAGAAGAGUGAUGAUGCAGUGCAUGUAGCAUGUAUGACUAGCACAGCAACUCAAGAGCAAUAAAACUAAACCAGACUGGAGACAUGCUGAAACAUUGAGUGGUACAUGUCACAUGAGACAUGUACUGUGAUCACAGCAAAGGAGCCUGGAGUCUUAGACUUAGAGAGGUAUAUAUGGCUCCUGCCAGGCUGGAGUAUAGGAUCCAGAGUCAGCCAACAACCAGUCACAAUUUUAGCUUUCUACUAUCAAUUGUUCCAGGUACGGAUCACUUCAGCUGCAACUACGUAAUUAAGGCCACGUGUAGCUAGCUAGCUGCCAACAUGCAAGUUCAAGCUUCUUAGCUUUUGCUCGACAAAGAAGCUUUAACAUCAAAAUCUGCCACUAUUUAAACCAAGAUAUUGUUCUGUGAAGGCUAUACAUGCUGUAAACGCAGCGCUGUGGUACCCAGGUGAGUAGAUAUACCUGUGACAAACAAACAAACAGACCAAUGGACUACUAUACCCGUGGCCGCCCACGUGCGCCUCGGGUAAUAACUGACAGAUACCCUCCACUUGCAUUGUCAGAAAUACCUAACGAUGAGAGCAACCGUAGAAACUUGGAAGCGUUGAACAAGAACUAAAGAAAAAUGAACCUACCAAAUCAGUGGUACUGGAAUUAAUGGAGCUCACUUUCAGUGUCCGGAGGGGACUUUAUUCUUAGUAAAGCUGGGAGUGUCCACGAAAUCCUUGAAAAGUUUCCAGCACUGCUUCGCCCUGAUUGUGUAAUUCUAGAAAUGGCGCUUAUUCUGAAACGCCCGAAGGAUUCGAUAUUCAAAGAUUUUCAAUAAAAGUGGGAGAAGUGGGUUCCAGCAAUUCUUAAACUCUCCAAAACGUUCUCAAAAAAGUCUAGAGCAGCAUUUGACGACACUCCGUAAACUAUGGCAUGCAGGAAGUAGACCAUUAAUUUAAACCGUGUAUUGUUUGGUGCUGUGUAUUGUUUGGCAGCGUUAUUCACAUUGUUGGCCAAAAAACACAAGGAGAAGCAUCCGGAGUACUAUUGGAUUUCAGAUCACG
Halichondria panicea is the source of this 3062-nucleotide long non-coding RNA. RefSeq lists it as uncharacterized. The record is from RefSeq and is a predicted model, not a curated record. NCBI's taxonomy places the organism in Eukaryota, Metazoa, Porifera, Demospongiae, Suberitida, Halichondriidae. The transcript has 3 exons.